UAGUAACUGCGAGUGAAGCGGGAAAAGCUCAAAUUUAAAAUCUGGCGGUCUCUGGCCGUCCGAGUUGUAAUCUAGAGAAGUGCUACCCGCGCUGGACCGUGUACAAGUCUCCUGGAAUGGAGCGUCAUAGAGGGUGAGAAUCCCGUCUCUGACACGGACUACCAGGGCUUUGUGGUACGCUCUCAAAGAGUCGAGUUGUUUGGGAAUGCAGCUCAAAAUGGGUGGUAAAUUCCAUCUAAAGCUAAAUAUUGGCGAGAGACCGAUAGCGAACAAGUACCGUGAGGGAAAGAUGAAAAGAACUUUGGAAAGAGAGUUAAACAGUACGUGAAAUUGCUGAAAGGGAAACGCUUGAAGUCAGUCGCGUUGGCCGGGGAUCAGCCUCGCUUUUGCGUGGUGUACUUUCUGGUUGACGGGUCAGCAUCAAUUUUGACCGCUGGAAAAAGGCUUGGGGAAUGUGGCAGCUUCGGCUGUGUUAUAGCCCUUUGUCACAUACAGCGGUUGGGAUUGAGGAACUCAGCACGCCGCAAGGCCGGGUUUCGACCACGUUCGUGCUUAGGAUGCUGGCAUAAUGGCUUUAAGCGACCCGUCUUGAAACACGGACCAAGGAGUCUAACAUGCCUGCGAGUGUUUGGGUGGAGAACCCGAGCGCGUAAUGAAAGUGAAAGUUGAGAUCCCUGUCGUGGGGAGCAUCGACGCCCGGACCAGAACUUUUGUGACGGAUCCACGGUAGAGCAUGUAUGUUGGGACGCGAAAGAUGGUGAACUAUGCCUGAAUAGGG
This 778-nucleotide ribosomal RNA is filed under the name Macrolepiota procera (parasol mushroom). RNAcentral's name for it is "partial large subunit ribosomal RNA". It matches the Rfam family "Eukaryotic large subunit ribosomal RNA", at positions 81 to 846 of the family's 3401-position model. The record is from RNAcentral. Lineage: Eukaryota; Fungi; Basidiomycota; Agaricomycetes; Agaricales; Agaricaceae.